CCGUGGGCCUGGGCGGUGGAGAAGGUGCAGGAGCUCUGCAAGCCUGGCUCCCAGCGCAGAGGACCGGAUGGAGGAAGGCUGAGGGCCCGGCACUCCGGCCACAGGUGAGGCUUCAGCAGGAAAGCCUGCGCCCAAUGGCAACUUUCUCUCUCGGUGCUCAACCUCGGCUCUUUGCUGGCUUCCACUUUCUCCUCUAGAACAAUAGGGGAGAAAAACUACCCCCAAACGAUCACACGGGCACUUAGCUUUGCUUCUUGGGGGGGGGGGUGAAAGUUGAGGGCUCAGUGUGCGAGUUUGGAAAGUGGGGCCAGAUUCACCCCGGAAGGAGGCUAAGAAUGGAAAGUGAGCCCCUGAGGCAGGCGGCGCGGCAGGAGGCACCGCCCCCCGCGGCUGCUCCGGGACCAGGUGUGCGCAGGAAGGCGCGUCCCGGCGGCUGCGCAUCGCCUGUCGUGGCUCAGCUCCGGAGGACUGAGGACGCCCCUCUGGCUCACGCCCGGGACCCGCGAGGACACCGUGACCCACCUUGGUGCCUGGACACACAAGCACCACCCUAGCCCUUAGGCAGCCGGACGGCCCCUCUCCUGAAUGCCCAAGCCGGACCCACGCCCACCUCCACAGCACAACUCCCUCUUCCUCCUCCCCAGACUCCGAAGGGGUCUCCCCUAAGGCCAAGUCCAGGCUCAAGUCUGCCUCCUUCCUCCACUUCUCCCCUGAAUGUCUUCAACUGAGGCUUCAAGUAAGGUGUUUCUCCCUCAGAAGACCAGACCGUGGGCAGCAGAAGGGAGGAGCAACAGUCUGUCGUGUUCACUGCCCUGUGGCCAGCACCUAGCACAGGGCCUGGCAUACAGGAAGUGCUUAUUGAAGGUCUAGGGCCUGAAUGAAGGAACGGACCCCUCCAUCUUUCAAAUGAUGCAAAAAGAAGAGAAAGUUCUCCAAGUAACAGCUCCCAGGUUACACCCAGUUGUGUUCACAAGCACCCAGCAGAGAUGUUGAUAGAAAGAAGCCCUGGAGCUGGUCAGUGAAAUUAUCGCCCUAGGCGAUGUGAGAUCCUGGCUUCCUGGGAAUGUUCGGAAUCUUGGACGUCAAUAUCCUGGUCCCGCCACCUUUGGAUCUGAGCAUCCAGAGAAACUGGGUCAGAAUACUAUAGCGCCUAGAGUAUUUCUUACAACUAUGAAUCUACAAUUGUCUCAAAAUUAAAAGCUGAAUUUUUAAAACAUG
Marmota monax (woodchuck) is the source of this 1218-nucleotide long non-coding RNA. RefSeq lists it as uncharacterized. The record is from RefSeq and is a predicted model, not a curated record. Lineage: Eukaryota; Metazoa; Chordata; Mammalia; Rodentia; Sciuridae. The transcript is spliced from 3 exons.